CUAGGAGAAGUUAGGGCUGUCUCAUGCUAUAAUGCCUCAGAGUUAAUUAGAAAAUAAGGGCUUAUUUCCUCACACUGAAGAACUAUUCUUCUGAGGCACUGGAUUCUGGUAAUGGUGGAACUGCAUGUUGGGUCAUAAUGGAAGAAAGGACAUUAAGGAUCUAGGAGAACAAGACAAGGCAGAAGUAAAAUGGAUGAGCCAAACAGGUCGUCUCUAACAGCUUACAUGAACUCUUCUGUGUGAGAGUUCGAACAAGUGAAGAUAUUCCUGUGCAUUCUCAAGGAGAAGAUGGGCUGUCAGCUGGCAAAAAAAAAGUGUGUCUGACUUUUGCAGAGAUGAUGUGCACUCCAAAGGGAAGGCUAAGAUACUGAAGAUGAAGAGCGAUGGAAAGCAGAGAUGAAGAAAACAGAGGUGGAAAUGAUUAGUGACCCCUACUAAGGAGAAUGAUCUUCAAACUGGAAAAGAGAGAAAAUCUCAAGAGGAAAAUGAACUUAAGAUAGAAGACAAGAUAUUUGAGAAUAUCCAGGUUACAGUAACCUUUAUAGAUAUGUGGGAGGACCCCUAGAGUUCUGUCUGAAGAUUGUUAAUGAAAAGCCCAUCUUAUCAACUCAGGGGAAGAGGCUCAUACUGUCUGAAGUGGCCCAUUGUUUGGAGUUAUUCCUGGCUGAUGACUCUCACCAUCAUAAAUAUUAGGAGGGAGUGGAGACGGAGAGGACACAGGGAAAAGGGAAGAAAGCACUGACCCCAGAGAAGUCCUCCACAAAGUUCAUCUCCCCAGGAAACAAGACAAAACAGAGACAAUAAAAUGUCCAGUAUCAAAUAAAUAAGGGUCAUGUGAUUCCCAAGUAAACUGACCAGAAUGCUCAUCAAAUUCGAAGAAGCGGAGUCAGAUCGUUUCCAAAGGUGAAAGCUGCGCCCCUUCGAAGUCAGUGACCUGUGGAAUGUGGCGAUCUUGUCUUGUAUUUAAUAUUAGCCUUGAGCUAACAUCUGCUGCCAAUCCUCCUCUUUUGCUGAGGAAGACUGGCCCUGAGCUAACAUCCGUGCCCAUCUUCCUCUACUUUAUAUGUGGGACACCUGCCACAUCUGGGCUUGCCAAGCGAUGCCAUGACUGCACCCGGGAUCUGAACCGGCAAACCCCAGGCCGCCGAAGCAGAACGUGAGAACUUAACUGCUGUGCCACCGGGCCGGCCCCUAACUAUAUUUUCCUAAUGGAUCUUUUGCCCAAGCAUGAUUUUGCCAUAUAAUGCAUCUAUCAUUUGGAAAAUGUUGAUUCAUUGAGUGAAUAGUUGACCUCCCACUUAUUGGCUAUACAAUAUAUUAAAAGUCACAUUUGUUAAUAUCAUUGACCUCGUUGGAAAGGUCUUUAAGCAUUGGGAGGCUGUCAGGUUUACAUUAGCACACACAAGUUUUCCAAAAUUCUUUUUUGCUUGAAGGCUCAAAUUUUAUCUUUGGCAGCAAAUAAUGACGGUUGUUUUCCUCUCGGUGACAAGCUCUCUUUAUUUAAACUCAAGAAAAAGUCUAAGUAGCCAGGCCUGAAUAACAAUA
Molecule: long non-coding RNA, 1545 nt
Filed under: Equus caballus (horse)
Lineage: Eukaryota; Metazoa; Chordata; Mammalia; Perissodactyla; Equidae
Description: lncRNA (ENSECAG00000054752.1)
Source: RNAcentral